GUCUGGUCACAAAAUAGUCCCUCUCUCCAAAACACGUCCUGGGCGACUGCACCUGGGCUGCGUGGAAACGCUAUGAGCUUCCAGGGAACUCUAUGUAACCUCAAUCCUGUGAGGAUGGCCACUGAAGAAAUGGAGGCCCUGGGAAAAUAAACAGCCUCUCCAAGGACCCAGGACCAGCAAGGGGAAGAUUUAAUGAAUUCUUCACCUUCUUUGGGGAUUUUUUUUUUGGUCACAUGCUUAAUAGUUAACAUUUACUGAGUAGUUACAGUACAUGAACCACAGCUUUGCUCAUGGCGGACCCUGCUCUCUAAACACAGUGUCCCCAGGUGACCAGGCUGCUCUGGGUUGCUGGAUUGGUCAACGAUUCACGGUCCCACCCAAGUGAGCCUCCUGUCCCUGGGGUUGUCAAGGCAUUCUCUUGGCUGCUGAUUCCCACCCCCGUGGAGGCCGUUCUGAGCAGCCAGGAGCUGGGAGCCCUGCUACGCUCCCCCAGAUGGCCUGAAGAGUCCUCCUUUGGAACGUACCGGAUAAUGUCCUGGAGAGUCUGGGACUAUAAAUCGGCCGCUGGGCAGCCUCCCUGUUGGCUGGGGAGCCAGAGUAUACUUGCGUGUGGAUUUACCCUCUGGCCUCCAUUUCCUGUUUUCUGAGGAGAAAAAUGAGCAAUGGUGUCUCUUUUCUGGGGAGGAGAUGAAGGAGCAUUUAACCACACCCUGCUCUGCUCUUUCCCCUUGAUCUAGGUGCCCAGUUCUGCUCCAGGCAGAGGUUGCCAAUUAGUGAAAGCAUAUUCGGACGGCAGGUUUCUCGUCUUGUGCUGGCCGCUUACCUUGACACGAGCAACAUGAGGCUGUUGCCUGACUCUUUGUGGCCAUUCCGUUAGACCUAGGACUCAAGCCCAGUAUCUACUAGUCACUACCUGGAAGCCAGCAGCUAUGAUGUAACCACAAGCAUUGUUCAGUGAUGGCUGCCUUAGUUCUGUGGGUGGGACCGCAGUGCCGGCUGGCUGGGGAAUCCCACUGGUGACAACACAGCAUCCUUUUGAGCUGACUCGGCAGCAGAUGCCCCAGACCAACUCCAAGCCUGACAGCAUCUCUGCGAAGCGUGUGAAGGGACAGCAGACGUCAGAGUCCUCCUGUAAAUCACCUUCAUAAAGGCUCCUUGUGGUUGAUUCACCGAUGACUCAUUUAUAAUCUGGUUUCAACAUCGUGAGUCAAAAUGUACCACUUUCAUUAAAAAUAACAUUCACUGGGGUCUAACGGCUUUCUUUUUUCUGUUUUUUACUGUACUGUGUGGUUUCUGGAUGGGAAGCUGUCAGAUAGCAGGUGAGGUGUUUGGAG
RNAcentral lists this long non-coding RNA (1334 nucleotides) under Equus caballus (horse). RNAcentral describes it as "lncRNA (ENSECAG00000059206.1)". The record is from RNAcentral. Lineage: Eukaryota; Metazoa; Chordata; Mammalia; Perissodactyla; Equidae.